This 63-nucleotide transfer RNA is filed under the name Sarcophilus harrisii (Tasmanian devil). It matches the Rfam family "tRNA". From Rfam's summary of the family: Transfer RNA (tRNA) molecules are approximately 80 nucleotides in length. The record is from Rfam by way of RNAcentral. Lineage: Eukaryota; Metazoa; Chordata; Mammalia; Dasyuromorphia; Dasyuridae.
GCAACAGUAGAAAAACUACCAGAUUUGAAAUCUGGGGCAUGAGUUCAAAUCCCAUUUUUUGCU